GAUUAAGUUAUUAAGGGCGCACGGUGGAUGCCUUGGCACUAGAAGCCGAUGAAGGACGUUACUAACGACGAUAUGCUUUGGGGAGCUGUAAGUAAGCUUUGAUCCAGAGAUUUCCGAAUGGGGAAACCCAGCAUGAGUUAUGUCAUGUUAUCGAUAUGUGAAUACAUAGCAUAUCAGAAGGCACACCCGGAGAACUGAAACAUCUUAGUACCCGGAGGAAGAGAAAGAAAAUUCGAUUCCCUUAGUAGCGGCGAGCGAAACGGGAAGAGCCCAAACCAACAAGCUUGCUUGUUGGGGUUGUAGGACACUCUAUACGGAGUUACAAAGGACGACAUUAGACGAAUCAUCUGGAAAGAUGAAUCAAAGAAGGUAAUAAUCCUGUAGUCGAAAAUGUUGUCUCUCUUGAGUGGAUCCUGAGUACGACGGAGCACGUGAAAUUCCGUCGGAAUCUCGGA
This 455-nucleotide ribosomal RNA is filed under the name Staphylococcus aureus. RNAcentral describes it as "partial 23S ribosomal RNA". It matches the Rfam family "Bacterial large subunit ribosomal RNA", at positions 1 to 449 of the family's 2925-position model. Lineage: Bacteria; Bacillati; Bacillota; Bacilli; Caryophanales; Staphylococcaceae. The record is from RNAcentral.